UGGGGAAUAUUGCACAAUGGGGGGAACCCUGAUGCAGCGACGCCGCGUGAGUGAAGAAGUAUUUCGGUAUGUAAAGCUCUAUCAGCAGGGACGAAGAUGACGGUACCUGCAGAAGAAGCCCCGGCUAACUACGUGCC
RNAcentral lists this ribosomal RNA (137 nucleotides) under uncultured bacterium. Its description in RNAcentral is "partial 16S ribosomal RNA". It matches the Rfam family "Bacterial small subunit ribosomal RNA", at positions 355 to 509 of the family's 1533-position model. The record is from RNAcentral.